RNAcentral lists this transfer RNA (79 nucleotides) under Desulfobaculum senezii. RNAcentral describes it as "tRNA-Ile". It matches the Rfam family "tRNA". From Rfam's summary of the family: Transfer RNA (tRNA) molecules are approximately 80 nucleotides in length. Their secondary structure includes four short double-helical elements and three loops (D, anti-codon, and T loops). The record is from RNAcentral. Lineage: Bacteria; Pseudomonadati; Thermodesulfobacteriota; Desulfovibrionia; Desulfovibrionales; Desulfovibrionaceae. RNAcentral also lists the same sequence under 2 other names.
GGGCCUAUAGCUCAGCUCCGGUUAGAGCGCACGCCUGAUAAGCGUGAGGUCGAUGGUUCAAGUCCAUCUAGGCCCACCA